This 511-nucleotide ribosomal RNA is filed under the name uncultured bacterium. RNAcentral describes it as "bacterial SSU rRNA". It matches the Rfam family "Bacterial small subunit ribosomal RNA", at positions 30 to 520 of the family's 1533-position model. The record is from RNAcentral.
AUUGAACGCUGGCGGAAUGCUUUACACAUGCAAGUCGAACGGCAGCACGGACUUCGGUCUGGUGGCGAGUGGCGAACGGGUGAGUAACACGUGGGCAACCUGCCUGUAAGACUGGGAUAACUUCGGGAAACCGGAGCUAAUACCGGAUAAUCCUUUUCCUCUCAUGAGGAAAAGCUGAAAGUCGGUUUCGGCUGACGCUUACAGAUGGGGCCCCGCGGCGCAUUAGCUAGUUGGUGAGGUAACGGCUCACCAAGGCGACGAUGCGUAGCCGACCUGAGAGGGUGAUCGGCCACACUGGGACUGAGACACGGCCCAGACUCCUACGGGAGGCAGCAGUAGGGAAUCUUCCGCAAUGGACGAAAGUCUGACGGAGCAACGCCGCGUGAGCGAUGAAGGCCUUGGGUCGUAAAGCUCUGUUGUUAGGGAAGAACAAGUAUCGGAGUAACUGCCGGUACCUUGACGGUACCUAACCAGAAAGGCCAACGGCUAACCUACGUGCCAGCAGCCGCGG